This 931-nucleotide long non-coding RNA is filed under the name Triticum aestivum (bread wheat). RNAcentral's name for it is "long non-coding RNA (TAES_LNC015675)". Lineage: Eukaryota; Viridiplantae; Streptophyta; Magnoliopsida; Poales; Poaceae. The record is from RNAcentral.
UGGCUUAUCCAUUCGCCCCCACCAGGAUGCAUCUGCAUCCAUCUUUCCUAUUCUCUCGCUCCAUCUCUCAUCCUCUCUCAAAUCUCUCUGACCGGUGGACUCCGUGUGGGCGGAGCGAAGAGGGAGCCAAGCCAGCCGAGCCGACCCCUCUCCUCUUUCCCUUUCUCGCAGCGAUUCGCAAUUUGCCCCUUCUCGCUCCAUCUCUCUUUCUCAUCCCGUGCUUCCACCGAUAUGCGUAGCCAACGACAUUUAAGCGCUAUGAGACGGCUGCUCGGCGAAGUUCGUUCCCGGGUUGCCGGCGUGUUCAAUCGGGUGACUGCAUGCAGGCCCGGAUGUGAAGCCUCCAAAAUCGCUGGUGCCCCCGUUCCACCUGAGUGAGCGCAGCCGCCGGAUCCCGUCUUGUCAUGUCCUCUCUCUCUCUCUCUCAUUUCCUCGUCUCGUUCUAAUUCUAUGGAGUGCAUAUGCAUGCAGGCCGAUGUGAAGCCAAGUCGCUGGCACCCCGUUCUAGACCACCAGAUCCGGAGUGCCACCGACGGUUCCUGUCCCCAUCACGCCCGCGUCAACGACCGCCAAGUUGCUGGCACCUCGUUCCAGACCACCAGAUCUGGAGCGCCGCCGCCGGAUCUCGUCCCCAUCACGCCUGCGUCAACGACCGCCGCGGAACCCUCCUCGGCUCCUCCUCCUCAACGAUUCACGGCAAGAACUGGGACAGCACCGUGCCCUUCCCCGUCUCCAACACUACAGUGCUCGCGCCGUCGGUGCUGUCGUAUUUAUUAUCAUUCGAAUAUGUGUGGAUUUGACCCCUUCGAUUGCCUUCCCAUCAUGUUUUGUUCAUUCUUUUCUGAAUCUGAUUCUCAUGCCUGGUGCGAAUUUUCUAUAAAUCGUGGUGAGGAUUUGUUCCUUCUUUCCCGGUUAUAAUUCAUUGAAUCAG